This 253-nucleotide ribosomal RNA is filed under the name uncultured bacterium. Its description in RNAcentral is "partial 16S ribosomal RNA". It matches the Rfam family "Bacterial small subunit ribosomal RNA", at positions 524 to 776 of the family's 1533-position model. The record is from RNAcentral.
UACGGAGGGGGCUAGCGUUGUUCGGAAUUACUGGGCGUAAAGCGCGCGUAGGCGGUCCUGCAAGUCGGGGGUGAAAGCCCGAGGCUCAACCUCGAAACUGCCUUCGAUACUGCGGGUCUCGAGUCCGGGAGAGGUGAGUGGAAUUCCUAGUGUAGAGGUGAAAUUCGUAGAUAUUAGGAAGAACACCAGUGGCGAAGGCGGCUCACUGGCCCGGUACUGACGCUGAGGUGCGAAAGCGUGGGGAGCAAACAGG